This 69-nucleotide transfer RNA is filed under the name Dipodomys ordii (Ord's kangaroo rat). It matches the Rfam family "tRNA". Rfam says of the family: Transfer RNA (tRNA) molecules are approximately 80 nucleotides in length. Their secondary structure includes four short double-helical elements and three loops (D, anti-codon, and T loops). Further hydrogen bonds mediate the characteristic L-shaped molecular structure. tRNAs have two regions of fundamental functional importance: the anti-codon, which is responsible for specific mRNA codon recognition, and the 3' end, to which the tRNAs corresponding amino acid is attached (by aminoacyl-tRNA synthetases). tRNAs cope with the degeneracy of the genetic code in two manners: having more than one tRNA (with a specific anti-codon) for a particular amino acid; and 'wobble' base-pairing, i.e. permitting non-standard base-pairing at the 3rd anti-codon position. Lineage: Eukaryota; Metazoa; Chordata; Mammalia; Rodentia; Heteromyidae. The record is from Rfam by way of RNAcentral.
GGGAAUGUGGCUUAGUGGUAGAGUACUUGCCUACCAUGCAUAAAGCCUGGGUUCAAUUCCUCAGUACCA